RNAcentral lists this long non-coding RNA (604 nucleotides) under Homo sapiens (human). RNAcentral describes it as "long intergenic non-protein coding RNA 1811". Lineage: Eukaryota; Metazoa; Chordata; Mammalia; Primates; Hominidae. The record is from RNAcentral.
GAUGUUGAGAGAUCAACCAGGAGACUGUGGGAGGAUGUGAGCUCUCUGAGAAGGAGAAGAAGUAUUUACAUUAGAAGUCUGAUUCACAGGUCGGGGCAAAGUGAAAAACAUCUGCACUUUUAAAAGGUGAGGACAGUCUGUUCUGAAGGUCUACACAUUAAUGCUUCCUAUUGGGAAUUCAAAUCGGCAAUUUGUUCUUCUUCUGGUUGUUUGAAUCUUCAAAAUAGAGGGAAGACACCUGGAUGAAACAUUUUCACAGACUCUGCAAUUCCCUUAAGAGGAUCCCAGAGCCCUUAAGCUUCUCUUAGAUUCCUCUGAUUUUUUUCAGCCCAAGGACUGUUACCACAUGUCUUCCAUCUUGCCCACAAUUUUAGCAGGAGAAAAGAUGUCCUAGAAAGGAUCUGCUCUAUCAGCAUGGAUUCUGGGAUUUAAAAAAAGAUAUAAAGAGACCUACAGCUGUAGAACAGAGUUUCAGCCUACCUGCUGCCAACACAUAAUGUGACUGAGAUAAACUCUUGUUGAUUAAAUCAACUGAGCAGUUAGUUACCUGUUUCAGCAGUAUAACAAAGAAAAAACUGACUAAUAAAAGUUCCUAGGAUGUUCC